CAGAUCAGAAGGUGAUUGUGGCUUUGAAUAGCUAUUAAGCAGCCACAGCACUACCUGGUCAGA
RNAcentral lists this microRNA precursor (63 nucleotides) under Columba livia (rock pigeon). RNAcentral describes it as "Cli-Mir-383-v2_pre stem-loop". It matches the Rfam family "mir-383 microRNA precursor family", at positions 6 to 67 of the family's 73-position model. The record is from RNAcentral. Lineage: Eukaryota; Metazoa; Chordata; Aves; Columbiformes; Columbidae.